GAUGAACGCUAGCGGCAGGCCUAAUACACGCAAGCUGAACGGCAAGUUGAAUAGCAAUAUUUGACCUAGAGUAGCGUAAGGGUGCGUAACACGUAUGCAAUCUGCCCGCAACAGGAGGAUAGCUUGAUGAAAGUUGAGAUAAGACUCCAUAAGAUCACAGGAGGGCAUCUGAUAGUGAUUAAACUACAAGGGGUUGCGGAUGAGCAUGCGCAUGAUUAGUUAGUUGGCGGGUAACGGACCCGACCAA
This 247-nucleotide ribosomal RNA is filed under the name uncultured bacterium. RNAcentral's name for it is "partial 16S ribosomal RNA". It matches the Rfam family "Bacterial small subunit ribosomal RNA", at positions 28 to 271 of the family's 1533-position model. The record is from RNAcentral.